CUAAUACCGCAGAUGUCGGUGCUUCGGUGUUGUGACUGAACCUCCGGGGUUCGAGGAGUGGGCCCGCGGCCGAUUAGCUGGCUGGUGGGGUAAUGGCCUACCAGGGCGGCGAUCGGUAGCUGGUCUGAGAGGAUGAUCAGCCAGACUGGGACUGCGAGACGGCCCAGACUCCUACGGGAGGCAGCAGUUAGGAAUUUUGGGCAAUGGGCGCAAGCCUGGCCCAGCAACGCCGCGUGGGUGAUGAAGGCCCUUGGGUCGUAAAGCCCUUUUCCCAGGGACGAUGGUGACGGUACCUGGGGAAUCAGCCCCGGCUAACUACGUGCCAGCAGCCGCGGUAAUACGUAGGGGGCAAGCGUUGUCCGGAUUUAUUGGGCGUAAAGCGCUCGCAGGCGGCUCGCUGCGUCGUGCGUGAUACACCCCGGCUCAACUGGGGAGGGUCGUGCGAUACGGUCGGGCUUGAGGCCAGUAGGGGGAUGCGGGAAUUCCGGGUGUAGUGGUGGAAUGCGUAGAGAUCCGGAGGAACACCAGCGGCGAAGGCGGCAUCCUGGACUGGUACUGACGCUCAUGAGCGAAAGUGUGGGGAGCGAUCCA
This 591-nucleotide ribosomal RNA is filed under the name uncultured bacterium. RNAcentral's name for it is "bacterial SSU rRNA". It matches the Rfam family "Bacterial small subunit ribosomal RNA", at positions 163 to 775 of the family's 1533-position model. The record is from RNAcentral.